GUCUAAUCUGCCAAUGAGGUAUUAAAUGGCCGCGGUAUUUUGACCGUGCAAAGGUAGCAUAAUAAUUAGUUUUUUAAUUGAAAGCUGGAAUGAAUGAUUGGACGAGAAAAUAGCUGUCUCAAUUUAAAUUUAUUAGAAUUUUAUUUUUAAGUAAGAAAGCUUAAAUAGUAUUAAAAGACGAGAAGACCCUAUAGAGUUUUAUAGUUUAAUUAUUUUUUAUUUUUUAGAAUUAUUUUAUUAUGAAUAAUUUAAUUAUUUUGUUGGGGCGAUAGAAAAAUUUAAAUAACUUUUUUUAGUAUUAGACCAUUAAUUUAUGAUUAAUUGAUCCAUUUUUUAUGAUUAUAAGAUUAAGUUACCUUAGGGAUAACAGCGUUAUUUUUUUUUAGAGUUCUUAUCGAAAGAAAAGAUUGCGACCUCGAUGUUGGAUUAAAAUUAAGGCUAGGUGUAGAAGCUUAGUUAUUAGGUCUGUUCGACCUUUAAAAUUUUACA
Molecule: ribosomal RNA, 489 nt
Filed under: Paramaladera major
Lineage: Eukaryota; Metazoa; Arthropoda; Insecta; Coleoptera; Scarabaeidae
Description: partial 16S large subunit ribosomal RNA
Rfam family: Archaeal large subunit ribosomal RNA
Source: RNAcentral